Molecule: ribosomal RNA, 433 nt
Filed under: uncultured bacterium
Lineage: Bacteria
Description: partial 16S ribosomal RNA
Rfam family: Bacterial small subunit ribosomal RNA
Source: RNAcentral
AACGAACGCUGGCGGCAUGCCUAACACAUGCAAGUCGAACGAGACCUUCGGGUCUAGUGGCGCACGGGUGCGUAACGCGUGGGAACCUGCCCUUAGGUUCGGAAUAACUCCCCGAAAGGGGUGCUAAUACCGGAUAAUGUCUUCGGACCAAAGAUUUAUCGCCUUUGGAUGGGCCCGCGUUGGAUUAGCUAGUUGGUAGGGUAAAAGCCUACCAAGGCGACGAUCCAUAGCUGGUCUGAGAGGAUGAGCAGCCACACUGGGACUGAGACACGGCCCAGACUCCUACGGGAGGGAGCAGUGGGGAAUAUUGGACAAUGGGCGAAAGCCUGAUCCAGCAAUGCCGCGUGAGUGAUGAAGGCCUUAGGGUUGUAAAGCUCUUUUACCCGGGAUGAUAAUGACAGUACCGGGAGAAUAAGCUCCGGCUAACUCCGUG